RNAcentral lists this long non-coding RNA (1240 nucleotides) under Toxoplasma gondii VEG. Lineage: Eukaryota; Apicomplexa; Conoidasida; Eucoccidiorida; Sarcocystidae. The record is from RNAcentral.
CUCGGGAGCUGGAACCGGCGCGCAAAAUAACCGGACACUCGCUCAGUCAAAAUGUUCUUUGUUUUGCCAUCGUCCACUUUCUCCGCUUCUUUCGAGGUCUUCUCUCCUGCCAGGGCAGCACGGAGCAACGCGAUUCCGUCGUCAUGCACGAAAAAAAUCACCUGGUUAAAGCGGAAUCUUCAGCGCUGCCUGCUGUCCCCAGUUCUAUCAGAGAAAGCUUACGUGCCAUCUUCAUUCGGCUAAGCUUCUUGUGCCUUUUUUGUAACAUCUACAACUGGGGCUACAAGUUUGCACUGCAAGAUUCCUUUCCUUCCAGAUCCAUUUUCUACUACCACAGUUUAUUACGAUAGCCACAGGUGCCGAGACAGUCAACGAGCUUUUGUCCUCAGUGCAACAUGUCCACUGAACUCAAAUACGUUUACGUCCCCGAUACUCGUGUACAGUGGUGUAUGUCUUCUGUGCCGGCGCCUCGUCAGCAAGCACGUUCCGAUAACGCAUGCACGUUGUGCAUCUGACGGAUACACCGUCGACAGACGAUUUACCUUUGAUAACGAUGGCUCCGUUGUCGACUUCUAUGGUUACGUCAUCUUUCUGAAGACCUGGCAAGUCAGCCAAAAUAAUCAUUUCCUUCUUUUUGCUGUCGAACUCCACGUCGACUCUGGGUCUCCACGUGAUGUCCUCCAUCAUUUCGUUUGCGGUGAGGGCCGUCUCGAACAACAUAUCGUCGAUGGGAUUAAGACCGACUCCACCCCAAAACUGCACAGAUGCACACAUCUGUGGCACGACCAUCCCUCCUACUCAAGGCGUAACACAAAGGGAAACCAGUAUUACAUCCAAGCUCCUAUUUUUCGGUUGUAGCAUGCGCCUCUCGUCACGGCUACACUCCGGUACACCGAACUUGCCGCUAUCGCCGCCCGUGAGCUUUUCCUCUUCGAAAAUCCCAACUUUUCCCUUCAGGUCCACCAUCGCUGUCAGUCUUACCGGGGGAGGGUAGUACGCCAGAGCAAACGGGCUUACUUCAUCCAAAUAGUCUAGCUGCAUAUCCACGCAUCAAAUCGCAAUUUCCAUCGCUGUUUACCGCAAGAAGGCGUCCCCGCUGUCGUUUGAGAGGUAGUCCAACAUCUUCGGAACCUUCCUUGUCUUCGUCACUGUUGCGAGACUCUCAUUCCCGGUCUGAGUAUAGUUGCUCGUAUCCAGACUCCCUCUCGUGUGACAACACUCCAGUUGAAAUCGUGUCGGG